Molecule: ribosomal RNA, 585 nt
Filed under: uncultured bacterium
Lineage: Bacteria
Description: bacterial SSU rRNA
Rfam family: Bacterial small subunit ribosomal RNA
Source: RNAcentral
ACGGGUGAGUAAUGCCUAGGAAUCUGCCUGGUAGUGGGGGACAACGUCUCGAAAGGGACGCUAAUACCGCAUACGUCCUACGGGAGAAAGCAGGGGACCUUCGGGCCUUGCGCUAUCAGAUGAGCCUAGGUCGGAUUAGCUAGUUGGUGAGGUAAUGGCUCACCAAGGCGACGAUCCGUAACUGGUCUGAGAGGAUGAUCAGUCACACUGGAACUGAGACACGGUCCAGACUCCUACGGGAGGCAGCAGUGGGGAAUAUUGGACAAUGGGCGAAAGCCUGAUCCAGCCAUGCCGCGUGUGUGAAGAAGGUCUUCGGAUUGUAAAGCACUUUAAGUUGGGAGGAAGGGCAGUAAGCGAAUACCUUGCUGUUUUGACGUUACCGACAGAAUAAGCACCGGCUAACUCUGUGCCAGCAGCCGCGGUAAUACAGAGGGUGCAAGCGUUAAUCGGAAUUACUGGGCGUAAAGCGCGCGUAGGUGGUUUGUUAAGUUGAAUGUGAAAUCCCCGGGCUCAACCUGGGAACUGCAUCCAAAACUGGCAAGCUAGAGUAGGGCAGAGGGUGGUGGAAUUUCCUGUGUAGCGGUG